This is a long non-coding RNA of Gadus morhua (Atlantic cod), 1192 nucleotides long. RefSeq lists it as uncharacterized. Lineage: Eukaryota; Metazoa; Chordata; Actinopteri; Gadiformes; Gadidae. The record is from RefSeq and is a predicted model, not a curated record. The transcript has 2 exons.
GCUUUUUUAGAGUGUAAUUUAAUUUCACUUCAUUAGAAGUGUAUUUAAGUGUACUUCCAUGAAGUGCACUUUAAUGCAAAUACUUUUUAAGCUGUAUUUCAGUGUACUUAGAAAAAGUAUACUAAGUUGCACAUACUUAAAGUGGUACUUUAGUGUACUUCUGAAAAGUACACUUCAUUUCAAGUCCUUUGUAAUACACUAUUAAAAUGCUUUAUCAAAGUAUACUUAAAUUUCCCUUUAUUAGUAGUGUAUUUAAGUAUACUUCCUUACAGUUCACUUUAAUGCAAGUUAAUUUUAAGCUGUAUUUCAGUGCACUUAGAAAAAGUAUACUAAAUUGCAAAAACUUAUAGUUGUCAUUCAGUGUGAUUCUGAAAAGUACACUUAGUAAUACACUAUUAACAUGCUUCAUUUUUAGUAUACUUUAAUUUCACUUCAUUAGAAGUUUAUUUAAGUAUAUUCAUACAUCAUCACAACCAAAGUGUUGAAUUAAUCAAAAAAAUACAGAUAAAUAAUACUGAAAUGGCUACUUUUACUAGCUCCAACGACUAACUAUUAAAGAAAAUCCAAGGCUAUAACCAAAAUUUGAAAAUAGCAAGUUUAUAACGGCCAUCCAAUCAGUGUGCGGCUGCAAAUCGACGUCCAAUGAGAAUGUAGUAUUUAGGUCGCCAAUUGGUGGUUUACUCAAAUACACUUGGCGCGGACGGUUAGUGUUCCAUUUGAAAUUGAGCAGUGAGCACCUAAUAUCUCCGGGUCAAACAAUGACAGUGUUUGGUUUGUUUUAUUUCCAAGACGGCUCCGUUAGAGCAGAUAAUACAUCCGUCAUACGUGAUGCAUACAGAAAUAAAAAAAAUAACGGUUAACUGCAGGGAAGACCUCGAGUCGGAGCAGGGCUGGAUAGAGGUAAUUUGGCCUACACAACGGCGACAACAAGAGGCGAAGCCUAUUGCAGCCAAAUUGCUUUUCUUUGGAGACACGGUGAGGGAGAAAUUCCCCAACACCAUGGUUAGUGAGAUCCGGGCCCUGCUGCGGAGGAAAUGCAAUAAUGAGGGCUACACCAAGGUUGCUCCUCAGUAGCUUUAUUAUAUAUGUUAUAUAUGUCAGAUGUUUUAAAGUUAGGUGUUAUUGAAUGUAUGUUUGUAUUAAUAUUUAAAUUAAAGUUUUGGUUUGUACAAUUUAAGUGUUUUUUGUCAUG